AUUGAACGCUGGCGGCAGGCUUAACACAUGCAAGUCGAGCGGGGGAAGGUAGCUUGCUACCGGACCUAGCGGCGGACGGGUGAGUAAUGCUUAGGAAUCUGCCUAUUAGUGGGGGACAACAUCUCGAAAGGGAGGCUAAUACCGCAUACGUCCUACGAGAGAAAGCAGGGGAUCUUCGGACCUUGCGCUAAUAGAUGAGCCUAAGUCGGAGUAGCUAGUUGGUGUGGUAAAGGCCUACCAAUGCGACGAUCUGAAGCGGGUCUGAGAGGAUGAUCCGCAACACUGGGACUGAGACACGGCCCAGACUCCGACGGGAGGCAGCAGUGGGGAAUAUUGGACAAUGGGGGGAACCCUGAUCCAGCCAUGCCGCGUGUGUGAAGAAGGACUUAUGGUUGUAAAGCACUUUAAGCGAGGAGGAGGCUACUUUAGUUAAUACCUAGAGAUAGUGGACGUUACUCGCAGAAUAAGCACCGGCUAACUCUGUGCCAGCCGCCGCCGUAA
This 501-nucleotide ribosomal RNA is filed under the name uncultured bacterium. Its description in RNAcentral is "partial 16S ribosomal RNA". It matches the Rfam family "Bacterial small subunit ribosomal RNA", at positions 30 to 523 of the family's 1533-position model. The record is from RNAcentral.